This is a long non-coding RNA of Vitis riparia (riverbank grape), 1814 nucleotides long. RefSeq lists it as uncharacterized. The record is from RefSeq and is a predicted model, not a curated record. The transcript has 2 exons. Lineage: Eukaryota; Viridiplantae; Streptophyta; Magnoliopsida; Vitales; Vitaceae.
GUGUCCCAGGAGAGAUGGCACCUGCUUUGAGCUGUGAUUGAUUAAGCAGGUUUCAUCUCCCUGAGACAUCAGAUGCUGCUACUUCUAAUCUUCCAGACACCAGUCUUUCUUCAAAAACACAUGCAAAGGCUGCUUCUAUGCAUCCUUAUGGAAAAACUUAUAAUAUUUAUCGAUUAUUUGAAGAGAUCUUAGAGCAAUAAGGGAGGGAGGGAGGGAGAGGGCUGGUGUCCCAGGAGAGAUGGCACCUGCUUUGAGCUGUGAUUGAUCAAGCAGGUUUCAUCUCCCUGAGACAUCAGAUGCUGCUACUUCUAAUCUUCCAGACACCAGUCUUUCUUCAAAAACACAUGCAAAGGCUGCUUCCAUGCAUCCUUAUGGAAAAGCUUAUAAUAUUUAUUGAUUAUUUGAAGAGAUAUUAGAGCAAUAUCUCCAGUUUCAGAUUCUCUCGUCUGAAAGGGAAAAUUUUUCCUGCUGGUAAAAUACUUGAAUUCUGCAGUAGUAGUAUUUGUAUUCUUUCUGGUGGGAGAAUAGGAAUUCUAACCAGGAUGCAUGUAAAUAUCAUAUUGUAAGAUGUGUGGGGAAGUUGGUUGCUUUUGCAGGUGAAAAAGUUGAGUGCAAGUACAUGUGGAAGAUCCACUGGCUUCAGACUGAAACAAGAGAGUACUCCUCAAAGACUUGAGAAUUUUUUGAGGUGAAGAUGCAAUUUGCAAGAGAAACCCUAGGAGGCAACCUCAGAUUCUGUGGUAUAAAUUCUCUCUCCUCUAAUCUUCUUUCAAUCAUUUUGAUAAGAAAAUAUCAAAUUUUUAGUAAGUGACUUGUAAUAAAAUUUUAAUUACAGUUAGUCACACCCUAUGAGGCUUAGCGUCACCGUUGGUUUUAAAUUUCAUCGGUUAAUAUCCCUUAUGUAAUAAACACAUUAUGUUAUGUGUACAUCUUCGAUUUUAUAAUUUUAUAUCCAAAUCUCAUCCAUAUUCAUCUGAACCAUCAUCUAACAACCUAAGUUUUAUUAUAAAUAUUCAAUGUUUAGUAAGGGAGUUUGAUAGAAAUAUUUUUCUUUGGUCAAAGUACCAAAAGUUGAAUUAAUUUGUAAUUUCCUACAUAUCAAUUUUGAAGAGAAUCUCUCCUUGUGGAAUAACAAGGGGUCCCCUCCAGCCUUUUGCUUUUAUCAAUAACAAAUAAGCAAUAGGGAUAGAGAAAUUAUCAUUAAUGUCUAUGAACAAGGGAACAUUUCUUGAGCUUUCCUCAUCAUAACAACUGGGAAGUUUGCACUUAUCCCUAAUAAAGUCCUCCCUCCAAGGACCGUACCUCCAUAUUCAUUCCAAUAAUAGAUUCAUUCUAAAUGGAUCACAGAUUCUUUUUACUGUUGCCAUGUGCAUUUUGUACUAACCAUUGAUGUUCUGUUCUGUUUCACUGGUUGGAUUGAGGGGCUUCUGUGGUGUGGAUUAUUAAAGUGGAAGCAAUUCAUAUGUGUCAAUGAUGACUGUUUUUUCGUUUGAAAUGAAAGGUAAAAGCUUACUGGAUGAUGGCAUUUGUAGAGGUUGAGCAGGCAGAGGUUUCAAUCCUCUGCAUUGAUUGAAAAAAGUGAAGGGUAUUGAGUUGUGGUCCUUCCAAGUCCUUGAAGCAUGUAAUCCUCAAUGGGUGAAGAUGUCAUCUUAAUAUUUCUUAGAUGCUACAUAUUUGCACAGAAGCAGUCAUUAUAGUUAGUGUUGUGCAGAAGGAAGCUCUAAUUCGAGGUUUUAAAUGAUUCAACCAAUCAUGUCUACGUCCACGGAUGAUAUCUCUUCCUAUAUAGGUUUUACAUGUCCAUCUUUAUCUCA